RNAcentral lists this non-coding RNA (30 nucleotides) under Mus musculus (house mouse). The record is from RNAcentral. Lineage: Eukaryota; Metazoa; Chordata; Mammalia; Rodentia; Muridae.
UCACAUAUUACUGGGAACCUGAGAGGAUGU